RNAcentral lists this ribosomal RNA (1211 nucleotides) under uncultured archaeon. Its description in RNAcentral is "bacterial SSU rRNA". It matches the Rfam family "Archaeal small subunit ribosomal RNA", at positions 1 to 1205 of the family's 1478-position model. The record is from RNAcentral.
UUCCGGUUGAUCCUGCCGGACCCGACCGCUAUCGGGGUGAGACUAAGCCAUGGGAGUCGUACGCCCCGGUCACCGGGGCGUGGCGGACGGCUGAGUAAUACGUGGCUAACCUACCCUCGGGACGUGGAUAGUCCCGGGAAACUGGGACUAAUCCCCGAUAGGUGGGGAGGCCUGGAAGGGUCCCCCACCGAAAGGGUUCUGCGGGGAUGUCCGCAGAGCCGCCCGAGGAUGGGGCCACGGCCCAUCAGGUAGUUGGCGGGGUAACGGCCCGCCAAGCCGAUAACGGGUAGGGGCCGUGGGAGCGGGAGCCCCCAGAUGGGCCCUGAGACAAGGGCCCAGGCCCUACGGGGCGCACCAGGCGCGAAAACUCCGCAAUGCGGGAAACCGUGACGGGGUCACCCCGAGUGCCCCGAAGAGGGGCUUUUCCCCGCUGUAAACAGGCGGGGGUAAUAAGCGGGGGGCAAGUCUGGUGUCAGCCGCCGCGGUAAUACCAGCCCCGCGAGUGGUCGGGACGAUUAUUGGGCCUAAAGCGCCCGUAGCCGGCCCGGUAAGUCCCCCCUUAAAGCCUCGGGCCCAACCCGAGGACGGGGGGGAUACUGCCGGGCUAGGGGGCGGGAGAGGCCGAGGUACUCCCGGGGUAGGGGCGAAAUCCGUUAAUCCCGGGAGGACCACCAGUGGCGAAGGCGCUCGGCUGGAACGCGCCCGACGGUGAGGGGCGAAAGCCGGGGGAGCGAACCGAUUAGAUACCCGGGUAGUCCCGGCUGUAAACGAUGCGGGCUAGUGUUGGGCGGGAACUUGAGCCCGCCCAGUGCCGCAGGGAAGCCGUUAAUGACCCGCCGCCUGGGGAGUACGGCCGCAAGCUGAAACUUAAAGGAAUUGGCGGGGGAGCACCACAAGGGGUGGAGCCUGCGGCUCAAUUGGAGUCAACGCCAGGAAUCUUACCGGGGGAACAGCAGGAUGACGGCCAGUUGAAACUUGCCCGACGCGCUGAGAGAGGUGCAUGGCCGUCGCCAGCUCGUGUCGUGAGACGUCCGGUUAAGUCCGGCAACGANCGAACCCCCGCCCCUAGUUGCUACCGGUCCUGCGGGACGGGGCACACUAGGGGGACUGCCGCCGUUUAAGGCGGAAGAAGGGGGGGGCCACGGCAGGUCAGUAUGCCCCGAAACCCCGGGCUGCACCGGGGCUACAAAUGGGCGGNGGACAGCGGGUGC